Molecule: long non-coding RNA, 1705 nt
Organism: Siniperca chuatsi (mandarin fish)
Lineage: Eukaryota; Metazoa; Chordata; Actinopteri; Centrarchiformes; Sinipercidae
Exons: 3
Source: RefSeq, a predicted model, not a curated record
UACAGUGGCUUGGUUGGUGAGAAUGCAUGGUUGUGUUCUUAUGUUAAGAUUUUAUAUAAAGAUCAGGUUUCAGUGUAGGAAUCACAUAGUUUUGUUCGCAGAGGAGACAAGGAGCAAUUUAAGGGCCCUAAAGGCAGAUCAAUCAAAGCUGGUCUGUGGAAGUUGAACUGUUAGAAAGGCCAGAAAGGUCAGGGAGCACUGAGAGUUCACCGUUGGCUGCCUGAAGCUGUCUUUCCGUCAUCUUGAAUAGGUCAUUGUCACAGGGAGCUAGAGUCGUGUAUCACAACUUAAUUGGCAGUCUUGGUCCAAAAAUCAAAGCCAGUUAUUUGGAUGAUUCAGAAAUUAAACAUACUGUAGAAUAUCUUGAAGUUUAUUGAGUGAAAAUCAGGUGUGUACAGCUGCGCACAGUACAAUGGAUGACCUGAAAUGACUGCAGCUUGGAUACAUGAGCCACUAAGUACCCCAUAAAGCACCUUCACGCCUCUCCUUCUCUCUCUUUCCUUCUCUCUCUGUCUCACUUUCUACCCCCCCUCUCCAUCUGUCUCUUUCUAUAGCCCUGUCUUACUCUCUCACUCCCCCCUUUCUUUUUUUUUUCUUCAUAGACAGAUGAUAUGCUGUCCUCCUUCCAACACCCUCACAGUAGCAUAUUUCUCUCCCUGGAGCAAGUAACUCUGUCUUCUGCCUGUGUCCACACUCCUGCCCCCUCCCAACAACACAACCCAGGACAAGCAUGGCCUGCAGCUUCGAUGGCCCUCCGUGGAACAAAAACACACGCUGCCUCUCAAAAGCCUCCUUUAUCCGCGGCGAACAAAAAGACGGCUUCACCUCCGCACUGUUCCCACCAUUAGGCCCUGGCCUGGGCCCUUUUUUCUUGUCCCCUCCUCUCUCCCUCCUGCUCACACCCCCACUGGGUCCUUUCAGUAUGGGGCAGUGGGGGUGUGAGGUACGCCCUUUAUGUUCACAUGUGUCCAUGCUGGUUUACUCUGUCAGACUUGCCCCUUUCACAAUAGACGUGCAAAAAGAUUGACCAGCAGCUUUUCACGCAGCCACCCCCAUUCAGCUAUGAAUGAGCAUGGGUGGAAAAACACACCUGCACCUUUAUGUGUGUGAGUUCACAGUUAAUGCUAGAGGGGUAUGUCUGUUCUGGGUGACUUGGAAGUUUGGAAUUAAGCCUGAAAUCGACUCUGAAUCAGGCUGAAACGGGAUAAUCUGCCUGGAUAUGUGUUUGACUGGGCUGAACUUGACCAGACAAAUUCAUUUACAUGAAAGACCACUCACACUGGCACGGGCCUGCAGCUGGAGGGGAUGGUGUACCUGCCUACAUGAUUGCAACAGCAGCCCAUUAUUCUGGACAGCCUUUUGGUUUGCUCAAGGAUGUGAUGUUGUGCUGCCUUUCAAGGCCUGGUCCAUGUACAAUCCGUCAAGGCCACUGAAAAACAAUGCUGAGGAUCAUUACACAGAUAUGUGGGGCCAUAAUCCACUUUUUUGCAUCCAGACAAUUCCAGCACCAUGGAGACACAUGGGUAAUAUGAUGAUGAUGAUGAUGAUGAUGAUGAUGAUGAUGAUGAUGAUGAUGAUGAUGAUACAGUUGAUGUGGGCUUUGAAUUUGAUUAAAAAGAAAGUUCAUUCCCCAUAAAAAAGAUUUGUGGAAAAGUAAAUGCUAGUAUGGGCAAAUUACUUGAAAUAAAGUUCAAUCCCUACUUCA